AGUUACUUAAGAAAAUUGUCAUAUUCUUAAGCUUGUUUUCAUAUACAGUAACAGUUUAGGGUAGAGAAUAUAAUGCCUGUUUGUAUCCAACUUUUUAAGUGUUAGGAUAACCAUCAAUGAUCCUAUAAAACCAGUUAUCUUAUAUGGGAAUUUGUGUUAUGAUGGGUAUUACAAAGUAUAUAGAGUUAACUAUUGACUUUUAAAUUUAUUUUUGUUUGUUACUAGGUUAUUUAGACAUCAGGCCAGUCAAUUCUCAUACGCAGGUUAAAUACUUCAGAAGACAGAAAACCUGUAUAAUAGUUAACAUUUAUUGAGUGCUCAUUAUUUGCUGGGCACUAUUUUUUUAAGUACAUUACAUUGACUAAUUUAAUUCUAGCAAAAACUCUAUGCAGUUCAUACUAUUACACUCCCCAUAUUUAUAAGUAUAACAUGCUAAGCUGACCUUCAGUCCAAAGUCUUUGUGAAUAUUUCUAAUUACUUGUUAUAAACUAAUUUUAUUACAGGAAGCAAGGUAGCAAAAGAGUGAUUAAGAGCUUGGGCUCCGAGACAGAUAGUCUGUCUUUGAAUGCCAGUUCCAGCACUUAAUAGUAGCAUGAAAUUGGGCAGCCUUGCAGAUCCGGUACCUGUCUCAGGGCAGGCUAAUUCUAAGGAAGAGUACACACUGACUGGAGAGCAAGAUCUGCAAAUGCAAACCAAACAAUACAGAGCACAAACCCUCAGCCAUCUUCUUUGUCAAGCUGGGCCACUCCCUGUGCUUGCCCCAUCAUCCCAGGGCCUGGUAGGGAACAACUAGGGAGAGUCCUGGCCGCCCAGAGCUCACCACCACCAUUGUCCCUACUCUGUCCUUAGCCUGCUUCCCUCCCUGGGUGGUCUUUCCUGCUACAGCCCCAAUAAAGGCUCAUGCCCACGCUUUUGCCUUGCUUCUUGUGUUUCUCUCUUCUGACUCCUGACAAAUUCAGGUGUUUCAGAGCGAGGUCUCUUGGGAACUAUCUUUUUUUUUUUUUUCUGGUGCUGGGGAUUGAACCCAGGGCCUUGUGCAUGCAAGGGGCAAGAACUCUACCACUGAGCCACAUUCCCCAACCCCCAAAUUAUCCUUUAAAUGGCAACGCUCUCCUGAUCCUACUUGAAUAAAAACAAAAUCCUUGGUACAUUUUAAAA
Long non-coding RNA from Chinchilla lanigera (long-tailed chinchilla), 1158 nucleotides. RefSeq lists it as uncharacterized. The record is from RefSeq and is a predicted model, not a curated record. The transcript is spliced from 2 exons. Lineage: Eukaryota; Metazoa; Chordata; Mammalia; Rodentia; Chinchillidae.